AGUGAACGCUGGCGGUAGGCCUAACACAUGCAAGUCGAACGGCAGCACAGUAAGAGCUUGCUCUUACGGGUGGCGAGUAGCGGACGGGUGAGGAAUACAUCGGAAUCUACUUUUUCGUGGGGGAUAACGUAGGGAAACUUACGCUAAUACCGCAUACGACCUACGGGUGAAAGCAGGGGAUCUUCGGACCUUGCGCGAUUGAAUGAGCCGAUGUCGGAUUAGCUAGUUGGCGGGGUAAAGGCCCACCAAGGCGACGAUCCGUAGCUGGUCUGAGAGGAUGAUCAGCCACACUGGAACUGAGACACGGUCCAGACUCCUACGGGAGGCAGCAGUGGGGAAUAUUGGACAAUGGGCGCAAGCCUGAUCCAGCCAUACCGCGUGGGUGAAGAAGGCCUUCGGGUUGUAAAGCCCUUUUGUUGGGAAAGAAAAGCAGCAGGUUAAUACCCCGCUGUUCUGACGGUACCCAAAGAAUAAGCACCGGCUAACUUCGCG
Molecule: ribosomal RNA, 492 nt
Filed under: uncultured bacterium
Lineage: Bacteria
Description: partial 16S ribosomal RNA
Rfam family: Bacterial small subunit ribosomal RNA
Source: RNAcentral